GUUAUAUGGUCAAGUGAAGAAGCGCAUACGGUGGAUGCCUUGGCAGUCAGAGGCGAUGAAAGACGUGGUAGCCUGCGAAAAGCUUCGGGGAGUCGGCAAACAGACUUUGAUCCGGAGAUGUCUGAAUGGGGGAACCCAGCCAUCACAAGAUGGUUAUCUUGCACUGAAUACAUAGGUGCAAGAGGCGAACCAGGGGAACUGAAACAUCUAAGUACCCUGAGGAAAAGAAAUCAACCGAGAUUCCCUUAGUAGUGGCGAGCGAACGGGGACUAGCCCUUAAGUGGCUUUGAGAUUAGCGGAACGCUCUGGAAAGUGCGGCCAUAGUGGGUGAUAGCCCUGUACGCGAAAAUCUCUUAGUCAUGAAAUCGAGUAGGACGGAGCACGAGAAACUUUGUCUGAAUAUGGGGGGACCAUCCUCCAAGGCUAAAUACUACUGACUGACCGAUAGUGAACUAGUACCGUGAGGGAAAGGCGAAAAGAACCCCGGAGAGGGGAGUGAAAUAGAUCCUGAAACCGUAUGCGUACAAGCAGUGGGAGCAGACUUUGUUCUGUGACUGCGUACCUUUUGUAUAAUGGGUCAGCGACUUAUUUUCAGUGGCGAGCUUAACCGAAUAGGGGAGGCGUAGCGAAAGCGAGUCUUAAUAGGGCGUCUAGUCGCUGGGAAUAGACCCGAAACCGGGCGAUCUAUCCAUGGGCAGGUUGAAGGUUAGGUAACACUGACUGGAGGACCGAACCGACUACCGUUGAAAAGUUAGCGGAUGACCUGUGGAUCGGAGUGAAAGGCUAAUCAAGCUCGGAGAUAGCUGGUUCUCCUCGAAAGCUAUUUAGGUAGCGCCUCAUGUAUCACUGUAGGGGGUAGAGCACUGUUUCGGCUAGGGGGUCAUCCCGACUUACCAAACCGAUGCAAACUCCGAAUACCUACAAGUGCCGAGCAUGGGAGACACACGGCGGGUGCUAACGUCCGUCGUGAAAAGGGAAACAACCCAGACCGUCAGCUAAGGUCCCAAAGUUAUGGUUAAGUGGGAAACGAUGUGGGAAGGCUUAGACAGCUAGGAGGUUGGCUUAGAAGCAGCCACCCUUUAAAGAAAGCGUAAUAGCUCACUAGUCGAGUCGGCCUGCGCGGAAGAUGUAACGGGGCUCAAACCAUACACCGAAGCUACGGGUAUCACGUAAGUGAUGCGGUAGAGGAGCGUUCUGUAAGCCUGUGAAGGUGAGUUGAGAAGCUUGCUGGAGGUAUCAGAAGUGCGAAUGCUGACAUGAGUAACGACAAUGGGUGUGAAAAACACCCACGCCGAAAGACCAAGGUUUCCUGCGCAACGUUAAUCGACGCAGGGUUAGUCGGUCCCUAAGGCGAGGCUGAAAAGCGUAGUCGAUGGAAAACAGGUUAAUAUUCCUGUACUUCUGGUUAUUGCGAUGGAGGGACGGAGAAGGCUAGGCCAGCUUGGCGUUGGUUGUCCAAGUUUAAGGUGGUAGGCUGGAAUCUUAGGUAAAUCCGGGAUUCUAAGGCCGAGAGCUGAUGACGAGUUGCCUUUAGGCGACGAAGUGGUUGAUGCCAUGCUUCCAAGAAAAGCUUCUAAGCUUCAGAUAACCAGGAACCGUACCCCAAACCGACACAGGUGGUUGGGUAGAGAAUACCAAGGCGCUUGAGAGAACUCGGGUGAAGGAACUAGGCAAAAUGGCACCGUAACUUCGGGAGAAGGUGCGCCGGUGAGGGUGAAGGACUUGCUCCGUAAGCCCAUGCCGGUCGAAGAUACCAGGCCGCUGCGACUGUUUAUUAAAAACACAGCACUCUGCAAACACGAAAGUGGACGUAUAGGGUGUGACGCCUGCCCGGUGCCGGAAGGUUAAUUGAUGGGGUUAGCUAACGCGAAGCUCUUGAUCGAAGCCCCGGUAAACGGCGGCCGUAACUAUAACGGUCCUAAGGUAGCGAAAUUCCUUGUCGGGUAAGUUCCGACCUGCACGAAUGGCGUAACGAUGGCGGCGCUGUCUCCACCCGAGACUCAGUGAAAUUGAAAUCGCUGUGAAGAUGCAGUGUAUCCGCGGCUAGACGGAAAGACCCCGUGAACCUUUACUAUAGCUUUGCACUGGACUUUGAAUUUGCUUGUGUAGGAUAGGUGGGAGGCUUUGAAGCGUGGACGCCAGUUCGCGUGGAGCCAUCCUUGAAAUACCACCCUGGCAACUUUGAGGUUCUAACUCAGGUCCGUUAUCCGGAUCGAGGACAGUGUAUGGUGGGUAGUUUGACUGGGGCGGUCUCCUCCUAAAGAGUAACGGAGGAGUACGAAGGUGCGCUCAGACCGGUCGGAAAUCGGUCGUAGAGUAUAAAGGCAAAAGCGCGCUUGACUGCGAGACAGACACGUCGAGCAGGUACGAAAGUAGGUCUUAGUGAUCCGGUGGUUCUGUAUGGAAGGGCCAUCGCUCAACGGAUAAAAGGUACUCCGGGGAUAACAGGCUGAUACCGCCCAAGAGUUCAUAUCGACGGCGGUGUUUGGCACCUCGAUGUCGGCUCAUCACAUCCUGGGGCUGAAGCCGGUCCCAAGGGUAUGGCUGUUCGCCAUUUAAAGUGGUACGCGAGCUGGGUUUAGAACGUCGUGAGACAGUUCGGUCCCUAUCUGCCGUGGACGUUUGAGAUUUGAGAGGGGCUGCUCCUAGUACGAGAGGACCGGAGUGGACGAACCUCUGGUGUUCCGGUUGUCACGCCAGUGGCAUUGCCGGGUAGCUAUGUUCGGAAAAGAUAACCGCUGAAAGCAUCUAAGCGGGAAACUUGCCUCAAGAUGAGAUCUCACUGGAACCUUGAGUUCCCUGAAGGGCCGUCGAAGACUACGACGUUGAUAGGUUGGGUGUGUAAGCGCUGUGAGGCGUUGAGCUAACCAAUACUAAUUGCCCGUGAGGCUUGACCAUAUAACACCCAAGCAAUU
RNAcentral lists this ribosomal RNA (2915 nucleotides) under Pseudomonas kribbensis. RNAcentral's name for it is "23S ribosomal RNA". It matches the Rfam family "Bacterial large subunit ribosomal RNA". Lineage: Bacteria; Pseudomonadati; Pseudomonadota; Gammaproteobacteria; Pseudomonadales; Pseudomonadaceae. The record is from RNAcentral.